This 460-nucleotide ribosomal RNA is filed under the name uncultured bacterium. RNAcentral's name for it is "partial 16S ribosomal RNA". It matches the Rfam family "Bacterial small subunit ribosomal RNA", at positions 338 to 795 of the family's 1533-position model. The record is from RNAcentral.
CCUACGGUGCGCAGCAGUGAGGAAUAUUGGUCAAUGGGCGGAAGCCUGAACCAGCCAAGUAGCGUGCAGGAUGACGGCCCUACGGGUGGUAAACUGCUGUUAUACGGGAAUAACGCGCCUUACGUGUAGGGCUUUGCAUGUACCGUAGGCAUAAGGACCGGCUAAUUACGUGCCAGCAGCCGCGGUAAUACGGAAGGUCCGGGCGUUAUCCGGAUUUAUUGGGGUUAAAGGGAGCGUAGGCCGCAUGUCAAGCGUGCUGUGAAAGGUCCGGGCUUAACCCGGGCCUUGCAGCGCGAACUGGCGUGCUUGAGUCCGCGGAAAGCAGGCGGAAUUCGUCGUGUAGCGGUGAAAUGCUUAGAUAUGACGAAGAACCCCGAUUGCGAAGGCAGCUUGCUGCAGCGGAACUGACGCUGAUGCUCGAAAGCGCGGGUAUCGAACAGGAUUAGAUACCCGAGUAGUC